Molecule: small nucleolar RNA, 94 nt
Filed under: Oryza punctata
Lineage: Eukaryota; Viridiplantae; Streptophyta; Magnoliopsida; Poales; Poaceae
Description: snoRNA snoZ256
Rfam family: Small nucleolar RNA Z256
About the family: Z256 is a member of the C/D class of snoRNA which contain the C (UGAUGA) and D (CUGA) box motifs.
Source: Rfam by way of RNAcentral
ACCAGCCCAUCAUGCUCACUUCAGCAACUUAGGCAAGACUGACUAGCCUCCCCAAGAACACCAUCAAGAGCUGGGCCGAAUUGAAGGCUCAGUU